CAUGAAGAUGGAUGGAAAGGUCACCCCUCAGCUGUGCUGGCUGCUUUGGGGACAGGAAUGGCGUUAUCCUGCAGGACAUGGGUAGGAACAGGCAGCCCUGGCCCUGAGCUGGGUCUCCCCUGUCCCCCAGGAGCUGCACCCUGGCUGCCCCUACGUCCAGAGGCACAGCAAGGAGAGCUGGUGGCAGUGCCCUGGGCCCAUCCCGGUGCCAUCACCCCCGGGACCUGCUGUUGCUGCUCAUCUCUCCCACCCCCAUCCUCCCAGCACAAUUCUCUCCUCUGGCCUUUCUUCUCCAUCAGCAACCUGCAGAGACGGGGCCGGUUGCUGGGGAGCUCACACCAACGGUAAAUGUCUCCGUGGUUAAGGGGCUGGGUUUGGCUCCUGCUGUGCCUGCAGCCACACGGCUGCACCACGGUGUCACCCCCGAGGAAGCUCCGGUAUUUGCUGGGGAGCCCCGCGAGGGCCCUGGGGACACGGAGCGUGCCACGGGCGCGGGGCGAGGCUGCGCUCCCCGACGGGCGGCCCCGAGGGCUGGGCGCGGAGCCCCCGGCCGAGCGCUGAGCCCAGCGGAUCGCCGGCACCGGCUGCGGGGCUGGGCUCGGGGAUCUCCCCCGGGGGGGUCCUCGGCUCCUGCGGCCGGCGGAGAGCCCCGGGCUCGGCGUGGAGCCUCGGCGAGCACCCGGGCACCCGGUGCCGCCUCUCGCCCCUCCGCGCCCCCCCCCCCCCCCCCAGCCCCGUCCCUGCCCGCCCGGGGGCUGCCGGUGCCCCGGGGCGGCUGCGGGGCGCCCCCGCCCGGCCGUUACCGGGGACCGGGGGGGUGCGGGGCGGCGGAGGCAGCGGGCCCGGUGCCGAAGAGGUUAACCCGGUGGGUUGGAGCCCGGAGCUCCGCGGGCCGCCCCAUUAUAAAGCGCCCCGCCGGCAGCGCCCGGUGCGCACGGAGCCGCCGCGCCAUGGAGCCGCCGGGCACCGCCGGGGCACCGGGCGCGGCGGGGCGGCCCUGGGAGGACGCCAAGGCUUUCUACGACAACCUCGCCCCCAAGAAGAAACCCAAAUCGGUGAGAGCCCCGGGAUGCGCCCCCGCCGCCGAGGUGGCCCCCAGCCCGGGGAGGGAGCCCCCGGCCCGGGGAGGGGGGUGGCUGCCCGGUACCCCCCGGGUGCGGUGCUCC
RNAcentral lists this long non-coding RNA (1166 nucleotides) under Anas platyrhynchos platyrhynchos (common mallard). RNAcentral's name for it is "lncRNA (ENSAPLG00000022182.1)". Lineage: Eukaryota; Metazoa; Chordata; Aves; Anseriformes; Anatidae. The record is from RNAcentral.